CCUACGGGAGGCAGCAGUGGGGAAUAUUGGGCAAUGGAGGAAACUCUGACCCAGCAACGCCGCGUGAAUGAUGAAUGUCUUCGGAUUGUAAAGUUCUUUUCUAAGGGAAGAAGAAAGUUACGGUACCUUAGGAAUAAGCCUCGGCUAACUACGUGCCAGCAGCCGCGGUAAUACGGAGGAGGCAAGCGUUAUCCGGAUUGACUGGGCGUAAAGGGUUCGUAGGUGGUUUGACAAGUUGGGAGCGAAACUCCGGGGCUCAACCUCGUCACUACGACCACAACUGGCGGACGUGAGUGCAGGGAGGGCAGAUGGAAUUCGUAGUGUAGCGGUGAAAUGCGUAGAUAUUAGGAAGAACACCAGUGGCGAAGGCGGUUUGCUGGACUGUAACUGACACUGAGGCACGAAAGCGUGGGGAGCAAACAGGAUUAGAUACCCUAGUAGUC
This 443-nucleotide ribosomal RNA is filed under the name uncultured bacterium. RNAcentral's name for it is "partial 16S ribosomal RNA". It matches the Rfam family "Bacterial small subunit ribosomal RNA", at positions 338 to 795 of the family's 1533-position model. The record is from RNAcentral.